ACAGGAAAGUGUCCUCAAGAAGGUUGGGGUUUCCAGGUGGCAUGGGUGAGCACAGGGCUCAUUGCAGUGACGCACAGUCCCAUUCCAUGACAGUGGAGAUGAAGCCAGCUCUGGAGCUUGCACUUGCAUAUUCCUAUAGCUUCUCCGACUCUUAUGGACAAGGACUGAGGAGACAAAUCAUGUGGGAAACACUU
RNAcentral lists this small nucleolar RNA (194 nucleotides) under Dasypus novemcinctus (nine-banded armadillo). Its description in RNAcentral is "Small nucleolar RNA SNORA73 family (ENSDNOG00000046559.1)". It matches the Rfam family "Small nucleolar RNA SNORA73 family". Rfam says of the family: U17 (SNORA73A and SNORA73B) also known as E1 belongs to the H/ACA class of small nucleolar RNAs (snoRNAs). Vertebrate U17 is intron-encoded and ranges in length from 200-230 nucleotides, longer than most snoRNAs. The record is from RNAcentral. Lineage: Eukaryota; Metazoa; Chordata; Mammalia; Cingulata; Dasypodidae.